UACGUAGGGUGCAAGCGUUGUCCGGAAUUAUUGGGCGGAAAGAGCUUGUAGGCGGUUUGUCGCGUCUGCUGUGAAAUUUCGGGGCUCAACCCCGAACUUGCAGUGGGUACGGGCAGACUAGAGUGUGGUAGGGGAGACUGGAAUUCCUGGUGUAGCGGUGAAAUGCGCAGAUAUUAGGAGGAACACCGAUGGCGAAGGCAGGUCUCUGGGCCAUAACUGACGCUGAGAAGCGAAAGCAUGGGGAGCGAACAGG
Molecule: ribosomal RNA, 253 nt
Filed under: uncultured bacterium
Lineage: Bacteria
Description: partial 16S ribosomal RNA
Rfam family: Bacterial small subunit ribosomal RNA
Source: RNAcentral